CUCUACUCGUUUUUGGCUGUCAAUUUUUUUCUACACUUUUAGAUGUAUUUUGUGCAAGAAAUUGCAAUAAAAUAGUCUGCCUAAGAAAAAUUGAAUUUUUUUGGGAACUUUUUUCUGAUUUUGGAUUUUUGGGUCGGAUGGCUUUUUGGUGGUAAUAGGUGCCUUCCUCUACUCGUAUUUUGCCGUCAAUUUUUUUCUACACUUUUAGAUGUAUUUUGUGCAAGAAAUUGCAAUAAAAUAGUCUGCCUAAGAAAAAUUGAAUUUUUUUGGGAACUUUUUUCUGAUUUUGGAUUUUUGGGUAAAAUGACUUUUUGGUGGUAAUAGGUGCCUUCCUCUACUCGUAUUUGGCUGUCAAUUUUUUUCUACACUUUUAGGAGUAUUUUGUGCAAGAAAUUGCAAUAAAAUAGUCUGCCUAAGAAAAAUUGAAUUUUUUUGGGAACUUUUUUCUGAUUUUGGAUUUUUGGGUCAAAUGACUUUUUGGUGGUAAUAGGUGCCUUCCUCUACUCGUAUUUGGCUGUCAAUUUUUUUCUACACUUUUAGGAGUAUUUUGUGCAAGAAAUUGCAAUAAAAUAGUCUGCCUAAGAAAAAUUGAAUUUUUUUGGGAACUUUUUUCUGAUUUUGGAUUUUUGGGUCAAAUGACUUUUUGGUGGUAAUAGGUGCCUUCCUCUACUCGUAUUUGGCUGUCAAUUUUUUUCUACACUUUUAGGAGUAUUUUGUGCAAGAAAUUGCAAUAAAAUAGUCUGCCUAAGAAAAAUUGAAUUUUUUUGGGAACUUUUUUCUGAUUUUGGAUUUUUGGGUCAAAUGACUUUUUGGUGGUAAUAGGUGCC
Molecule: long non-coding RNA, 827 nt
Organism: Leptopilina boulardi
Lineage: Eukaryota; Metazoa; Arthropoda; Insecta; Hymenoptera; Figitidae
Exons: 4
Source: RefSeq, a predicted model, not a curated record